Molecule: non-coding RNA, 180 nt
Filed under: Brassica napus (rape)
Lineage: Eukaryota; Viridiplantae; Streptophyta; Magnoliopsida; Brassicales; Brassicaceae
Description: Bacterial small subunit ribosomal RNA
Rfam family: Bacterial small subunit ribosomal RNA
Source: Rfam by way of RNAcentral
CACCGCCCGUCACACCCUGGGAAUUGGUUUCGCCCGAAGCAUCGGAACAAUGAUCACCCAGCACUUCUGUGUAACACUAGUCACACAAAGACUUUUGGUGGUCUUAUUGACGCAUACCACGGUGGGGUCUUCGACUGGGGUGAAGUCGUAACAAGGUAGCCGUAGGGGAACCUGUGGCUG